RNAcentral lists this ribosomal RNA (690 nucleotides) under Salmonella enterica subsp. enterica serovar Panama. RNAcentral describes it as "partial 23S ribosomal RNA". It matches the Rfam family "Bacterial large subunit ribosomal RNA", at positions 2194 to 2878 of the family's 2925-position model. The record is from RNAcentral. Lineage: Bacteria; Pseudomonadati; Pseudomonadota; Gammaproteobacteria; Enterobacterales; Enterobacteriaceae.
GAAAUACCACCCUUUAAUGUUUGAUGUUCUAACGUGGACCCGUGAUCCGGGUUGCGGACAGUGUCUGGUGGGUAGUUUGACUGGGGCGGUCUCCUCCUAAAGAGUAACGGAGGAGCACGAAGGUUGGCUAAUCCUGGUCGGACAUCAGGAGGUUAGUGCAAUGGCAUAAGCCAGCUUGACUGCGAGCGUGACGGCGCGAGCAGGUGCGAAAGCAGGUCAUAGUGAUCCGGUGGUUCUGAAUGGAAGGGCCAUCGCUCAACGGAUAAAAGGUACUCCGGGGAUAACAGGCUGAUACCGCCCAAGAGUUCAUAUCGACGGCGGUGUUUGGCACCUCGAUGUCGGCUCAUCACAUCCUGGGGCUGAAGUAGGUCCCAAGGGUAUGGCUGUUCGCCAUUUAAAGUGGUACGCGAGCUGGGUUUAGAACGUCGUGAGACAGUUCGGUCCCUAUCUGCCGUGGGCGCUGGAGAACUGAGGGGGGCUGCUCCUAGUACGAGAGGACCGGAGUGGACGCAUCACUGGUGUUCGGGUUGUCAUGCCAAUGGCACUGCCCGGUAGCUAAAUGCGGAAGAGAUAAGUGCUGAAAGCAUCUAAGCACGAAACUUGCCCCGAGAUGAGUUCUCCCUGAGACUUUAGGUCUCCUGAAGGAACGUUGAAGACGACGACGUUGAUAGGCCGGGUGUGUAAGCGCAG